GCCAGGAUGACAGAACCCGGUGAUCGUGCUCGUCUCGAAAACGAGUCCCGCAAGGGAUUGCAGGUUCAAAUCCUGCUCCUGGCG
This 84-nucleotide transfer RNA is filed under the name Microcaldota archaeon. Its description in RNAcentral is "tRNA-Ser". It matches the Rfam family "tRNA". From Rfam's summary of the family: Transfer RNA (tRNA) molecules are approximately 80 nucleotides in length. Their secondary structure includes four short double-helical elements and three loops (D, anti-codon, and T loops). Lineage: Archaea; Nanobdellati; Microcaldota. The record is from RNAcentral.